UACGUAGGGGGCAAGCGUUGUCCGGAUUUAUUGGGCGUAAAGCGCGUGUAGGCGGCCAUGCAGGUCCGUUGUGAAAACUCGAGGCUCAACCUCGAGACGUCGAUGGAAACCGCAUGGCUAGAGUCCGGAAGAGGAGAGUGGAAUUCCUGGUGUAGCGGUGAAAUGCGCAGAUAUCAGGAAGAACACCCGUGGCGAAGGCGGCUCUCUGGGACGGUACUGACGCUGAGACGCGAAAGCGUGGGGAGCGAACAGG
This 253-nucleotide ribosomal RNA is filed under the name uncultured bacterium. RNAcentral describes it as "partial 16S ribosomal RNA". It matches the Rfam family "Bacterial small subunit ribosomal RNA", at positions 524 to 776 of the family's 1533-position model. The record is from RNAcentral.